UUUUGAUAAUCUUCUAUUGAAUAAAUUGUAUCAGAAAAUCGAGAUUUUAAAUGAGAGGUAAUAGUGAGAACCGUCUUGAUCUGUUUGCAUAAAAUCAAUCGACACUUAAUAGUUCAAAGGUUUCAUGUUAACUCGAGAUUUAAGAAAGUUUUAGGUGGAAUAUUUCGCGAUUAUUUUACUUUGGAUCCGUUUUAUGAACUUUAAGAUUAUCUAUUGACUUUGGUAAUAAAAUUGGAGACAAUUUCAUCUGGAUAAUUGCUCGCAAGAGAUCAAGAUACUAUCGUUUACCUAUUGAUCUAACAAACACCCUUUACGAGGAAUGACAAAAGUUUUAGCAGAAAUUUCUGUUCGAAGAAAAUUAUUGGUGAUUUAUUGAGAUGAGAUGCAUUUUGAAAUGGAAUUAAUAACAAUCAUCUCGUUAAGAGUUUCGGCUUCAUAUUAUUAAUAUAAGACUAAUUAUGACUUUAUCUUUUUCUGGAUGAACAUCAUUGAUCGUCACUUACUGUAUAUUGAUGAUUUAAUGUGCAUAUGAUUAAUAAGCAUUAGAAUACUAACUAAAUUUAUUGCGACCGUUCAAGUGAUUUAUCGAGACACGAGAUUAACCGAACCAAAUUAUUGACAAAACUAAACUCCAUUUGUUUCUGCUAUUCAUAAUUUUUUGAUUCUCUACAAUCUUGAGAUACUGAAGACUUUUAUCUCAAUUGUAUAACUUCAUCGUAGAGCUUUUGAGUAAAUUUGACCUGAAGAUAUCAAUCAAGUUCAUUUAUGAUCUCAUCGUUUCUUUACCUGUUCUUUCAUGAUAAAUUUCCAAUGAAUCCAAUUUAUUUUACUUAUCAUUAUUGGAAUUUCAACUGAUUUUUCUGAAUGAAAAACCAUGAUUAUGGAGUGUAUUUAAUUAAUGAAACAUUUAUCUAGCCAAUAAAAGAUUUAUGAAAUUGUAUUUCGUCUCUGGUUACAUCGAACUAAAUAAUUCAUUUUUGAAAAAUCUACCGAAGAAAGAAUAUUGGAUUGAUAAUCCACGAGAAUUAUAUCAUGAGAGAAAUUGAUGCUUUUUACUAAGUAUGAAAAUGUCUUUGGAUUUUUCGGUGCUUUUCAAAGACGUUUUCAAUAACUUUUGUAGAAAAAUUGAGUAGCCAAAGUGAGAAAUUCGUUAUUGAAAUUAAACAUGGUUAAGAUGUGAUAUGAGAAAUAAUGAGGAAAAAAACAAAUCAAUCCCGUUUUUAAAGAUAAUGUUUUAUAUGUUUUACCAAAAUGUCACAGGAGUUAUUGUGCCAUAAAUGUAUCAUAACUAGGUUAGUCUACAUGUCGAGAUAAACAAAAAGAUGUUUAAAAAUUGUUACGACAAGUGAUUAUGUGAAACUUCAACUUUAUCAAUUAAUUUUAUAGUAAAAGUUUUUUUAAUAAUCUUCUAUUGAAUAAAUUUUAUCAGAAAAGCGAGAUUUUAAAUGAGAGGUAACAGUGAGAAUCGCCUUGAUCUGUUUGAAUGAAAUUAAUAAGAUAUGCAAAUAUAACCGAAACUAAGAAAACGGUAAUCUACAAACACUUCGAAAAGAUAAUUACAAUAAUAGAUAAGUUCAUCUCGAACAUUCGGAAGGCAGUUAAUCUAUUCAACUUUUUGAAAAACUGUACCCAAGAAAGAAAAUUGGUUUGAUAAUCCACGAGAAUCAUAUCAUAAGAAAUUGAUGCUUUUUACUUUGAUUGACAAAGUUUCAGAUCGAAUGAAUUAGUUUUGGGACAUAAGAUGUUUUUGCGGUUACAACUGGUGCGUGGGAAAUGUAAUCUUUCAUUUUAGGCUUCUAAUAGUAUUGAGGCUACGAAACUGGCAAGAUAUGUUGGAAUUGGUAUCAGUGUAUUUUUUUAAUCGAAAAAGAGCAAUACGAAUCACCAAGGUACAAGGGAUCGUUCCCGUCCCAAUAUGAAUAGAGUCAUAGUACUGAUUCGAUUUGUUCAAUAUUAUUCAAUUAAUUUUAUUAAAGUACAAAGUUAUCUUUGACUAUUUUCCGUUCAAAGUUAUGACUGAAUUAAACUCGAAAUACAAAAUGAAAGAUUAAUCAAAGGCUAAACCAAUUAGAAACUUUUUCCGAGUCCAAAUUUGUCUUUACAUUUCAAUACUUGAAUUAAAAAUCUCUUUUUCGCCAUUGAAACUAAACUUUUAUGUGGUUUUUAGUAAUAAUCUUUGAAAACAGAGAAACAUACGAUUAGAUCUAAUUGUUAAACCACAAUCAAAUUUACUAUCAAAUUAGAUUAAAAUUAGUUGAAACCACAUAAUCUGUACACUUAAAGUUAAUUAAUUAUGUGUGUCUUGAGAUUUAGUCUGUUUUUAAGCAUUUUGAUUGAUUCCAAUUGAACUCCAAGUUUAUCUUUUCCAUAUUUGAUUGAUGAUUUGCAAAUGACUAGAUGAUAGUAUCUUUAGAUUUAGUCAAAGCUUCGAGAGCUGAAUUCAAUGCAAGAAAACUAAGGUGAGUUGAAACCUCAGUAAAUUUCAAAUUCAAAAUCUACGAAAGAUGAAUAAAAGAAAAUGAAACAAAAGCAACGUGAUUAAUACUGAUUCUCAUUUACCAUGAUAUUUACUAUUAAAACUCGAACUUUUGUGCAGUUUAUAACUGGUAGAUCUAAACUAGAGAGACUUAAAAAUAUUAUCAUGUUGAAAUAUAAUAUAACUCAAACCUCGUAAUGUCUCUUAGAAUUUGUACCAUUUCUUGUAUUAGAAGAGACAAGAAAUACAACGAAGAAGAUUUUUACAACUUGUUUUUAUACUUGUCAAAAAAAUACAAAACUCCAGCAAGAAAAAGCCUCAUCAAUGAAUGAAAAUCUUAUCAUGGACGCAAAAAAUUCAUUAGUUUUUAUGAAAAAGAUCCUCUCUUACGAAUGCAAAUACUGUUCGAAGGAGUAAAGAAACGAUACAAAGUAAUAUUGAUAGUAGUCUUUUGAUGGUCAGUCAUAGUGUUUUUGAUUUUCUCAAGACAUUUUUGUCCUUAGAUAAUUUUGAUUUAACUGAUAAAAUAAGACGAAAGUAAUGUCUACAUAGACUUAAAAAAGAGAUUACAACAGUUACAUUUCAGCUAAAGUCGCGAAAGACUUUUAAUAGUUCAAAGGUUUCAUGUUAACUCAAGAUUUAAGAAAGUUUUAGGUGGAAUAUUUCACGAUUAUUUUACUUUGGAUCCGUUUUAUGAACUUUAAGAUUAUCUAUUGAUUUUGGUAAUAAAAUUGGAGACAAUUUCAUCUGGAUAAUUGCUCGCAAGAGAUCAAGAUACUAUCGUUUACCUAUUGAUCUAACAAACACCCUUUACGAGGAAUGACAAAAGUUUUAGCAGAAAUUUCUGUUCGGAGAAAAUUAUUGGUGAUUUAUUGAGAUGAGAUGCAUUUUGAACAAUCUACGGAAGAUGAAUAAAAGAAAAUCUAACAAAAGCCACGUGAUUAAUAUUGAUGCUCAUUUACCAUGAUAUUAACUAUUGAAACUUGAAAUUUUGUACAAUUUUAAACUGGAGGAUCAGGUUAGGUAAGCUAGUGCGACUUAAAAAUAUUAUUAUGGGAAAACAUAUUAAUACAGCCAUGAAAAAUUAUUGUCCAAUGAAUUGGUCACAAUCACUGAUGGAUUUAAAAAUCAAUUGAGACUCAUUUUUCACGGCUGGAUAACUUGAACAUGGUAAUAUCUCUUAUACUGUGACAAGAAAUACAAUGAGGAAGAUUUUUACGAUUUUAUUUUUUCGUAGUCAAUCCAAUGUUUUGUCUUCAGCUAAUUUUUAUUGAAUUAAAUAUGACGAAAGGCAAUGUCCACAUAGUGAUAAUUUAUUAAUGAGCAUUAGAAUAUUAACUAAACUGAUAGCUUUUAAGUGAUGCAACGAGAAAUGAGAUUAACC
Molecule: long non-coding RNA, 3860 nt
Organism: Panonychus citri (citrus red mite)
Lineage: Eukaryota; Metazoa; Arthropoda; Arachnida; Trombidiformes; Tetranychidae
Exons: 2
Source: RefSeq, a predicted model, not a curated record